Non-coding RNA from Pelobates cultripes (western spadefoot toad), 884 nucleotides. The record is from the annotation of a GenBank genome assembly. NCBI's taxonomy places the organism in Eukaryota, Metazoa, Chordata, Amphibia, Anura, Pelobatidae.
GCCAGAGUUAGAAUAUUAAAUGUCAACGUUCCUAACAGUACAAUUAGAAAAAGACUGAUCAAGUAUGGUUUGUUUGGAUUGGUUGCCAUUAGAAAGGCUCUUCUCUUUAAAAAUAACAUGACAGCACAGCUUAGGUUUGCAAAGUUGCAUCUGAACAAUUCUGAAGACUUCUAGAACAAUGUAAUUUGGACAGACAAGACUAAAGUGGAGAUGUUUGGCCACAAUACACAGUGCCAGGUUUGGCAAAAACCAAACAAGGCAUAUCAGCACAAACAACUCAUACCAACUGUCAAGCACAGUUUUGGAGGGGUGAUGAUUUGGGCUUGUUUAGCAGCCAUGGGACGCCUCUGUCCAUAGGAAAGCAUUACUCGUGGUUUGAAUGCCGCGCAUGCGAAUUUGGAUCUAAUGUCGGCAGUGGAGGAGAGGUCACCAGCGCCUAGGGAGCCCGGCGCUGUAGAAAGGUAAGUGGCUCAACUCACACUAGUCUUGGGCAGUAGUAAUGAUUCUAGUAAAUAUCAGCAGGGCCGACGUGUCCUAUAGGCGACUUAGGCAGUCACCUAGGGUGCACUGGCCGAGGGGCUGCAAGUUUCGAUUGACCAGGCAGGAGGGAAGCACACAGCGCUCCCUCCUGCCAGUCACUCAGUGAAGCGUGGCCGGGAGGCGCUGACCAUGUUACAGGAGCUUCCUGUACCCAGCCGGACUGAAAGGAAGUGCUCUCUCAGUGAGCACUUCCUGUACAGCGGUCUGCGACGCCCGGCCACACUACACAGAGGUAGGAGGCACAACAGGGAAGGGGUGGGAGAUGGCAUUAUAGGACACUGGGGGGAGGGAAAGGAGGAGAAAUCACUAAGGGACAUGGGGGGAGGGAGAUGAGGAGAAUCCCC